RNAcentral lists this long non-coding RNA (1278 nucleotides) under Homo sapiens (human). RNAcentral's name for it is "HSALNT0151695". Lineage: Eukaryota; Metazoa; Chordata; Mammalia; Primates; Hominidae. The record is from RNAcentral.
GGACACAGAAGUCAGCAGAGCACUGUAGGCCAAGGGACUGCCCAGUGGCCAGAGCAAGUCACAGCCCAACCAACGUGGAAUAGGACUGAAGAGAGAUGUGAGUGUCCCCGAAGGGGCCCGGUCCUCAGUGACUGCGGGUCAGGAUGGCAUGGAUGGUUUGUAUUAUGCAAGGGCUCCAUGCAUAUCCUAGAUCCUAGUAACAGACGCAAAUGUACCAGCUUGAGUCAUAGAUCUUCUUUUUCUUUUGCAUGUCAUGAAGUCCAGGGGUAGGUUGCUCAGGGUAAGAGUGUGGCUCCAGGAUGUUGGCAGAGAGCCACAAGAUGGCUGAACCUUCUCCACAGCCCAUGCCCCCUCAAAGAAGGAGGAAACGGCAAAGUGCAAAGGCCAGUGCCAGCAGAAGACUCCUUUGUAGUAACAAGAGGGAAAAUAGUCAUGGAGUCACCAUACGUAUUAUUGGUCACAUAUAGUCACAUGGCUGCUCUUAUCUGCAAAGAAGGCUAUAAAAUAUUGUUUCAAGUUCAUACACUGCCAACUCCUACAGGACUAAGGUUCUGUAAUUAAGGAAGAAGGAGAACAAGACAUACGCAGAACUGCAACUGGGCCUUUGCCAGUGGGGAGAAAUGCUGCUGGGUGGUGCUCAGAGAAACAGGAUGCUGAUGGCAAGGAGAACAUCCCUCCCCAUCCACCAGCCCUGCAGGUAUCCUGAGGUUGCAGGACCAAGGACAGAGGGAUCCACAGUGGAACCUAGGUAUGGUAAUUGACCUCUAUUUCAGAUGGAAUAAGAGAGGAAAUGGUGGCCAUCUUGGAACGUGGGAUGACAUCCCCUCCUCUGCUAUGGUGUUGGGAAUGACUUGUGGGGUGCAGCCGCCAACUGAAUAGUGAACAGGGAGCUUCUACCAAUGGCUAACCCCGUCAAUUUCCAGAGCACCAGGGAGCAAAUGGCCUCACAAAGCCCCUGGAAACUCGUGCCUGGAAAUACAGAAAGUGGUAGUUUUUAUGCCAACAUCAAAUCAAGCAAAUUGAGAGUUAUGAUUAGAUAAGAGAAAUGGUGGGGUCUAAUUCACACACUAUCACAUGCUGCCACAUCUUGCAUGUGGAUACAGCAAAUGGGUUUUGCAGACUGAUCCUGGCUGGUGGUAGCACCCAAUGUUUAUGCUCUGAGUACUGCAUAUAAUGUUGUGUAAUCAUUUCUGCUAACGUUCCGAACAAAACUUUGUAAUAAGACGGCUUCUGCGUAUGUUAUACACUACAGAAAUGCUGGAAAGGUGGAGGUGAGGA